UACGUAGGGGGCAAGCGUUAUCCAGAUUUACUGGGUGUAAAGGGAGCGUAGACGGAGCGGCAAGUCUGAUGUGAAAGGCGGGGGCUCAACCCCCGGACUGCAUUGGAAACUGUCAAUCUGGAGUGCCGGAGAGGUAAGCGGAAUUCCUAGUGUAGCGGUGAAAUGCGUAGAUAUUAGGAGGAACACCAGUGGCGAAGGCGGCUUACUGGACGGUAACUGACGUUGAGGCUCGAAAGCGUGGGGAGCAAAC
Molecule: ribosomal RNA, 250 nt
Filed under: uncultured prokaryote
Description: partial 16S ribosomal RNA
Rfam family: Bacterial small subunit ribosomal RNA
Source: RNAcentral